RNAcentral lists this ribosomal RNA (253 nucleotides) under uncultured bacterium. RNAcentral's name for it is "partial 16S ribosomal RNA". It matches the Rfam family "Bacterial small subunit ribosomal RNA", at positions 524 to 776 of the family's 1533-position model. The record is from RNAcentral.
UACGAAGGGGGCUAGCGUUGUUCGGAAUUACUGGGCGUAAAGCGUGCGCAGGCGGCUUCUCAAGUCAGGGGUGAAAGCCCGGGGCUCAACCCCGGAAUUGCCUUUGAGACUGCAUCGCUAGAAUUGUGGAGAGGUAAGUGGAAUUCCGAGUGUAGAGGUGAAAUUCGUAGAUAUUCGGAAGAACACCAGUGGCGAAGGCGACUUACUGGACACAUAUUGACGCUGAGGUGCGAAAGCGUGGGGAGCAAACAGG